GCCCCCAUCGUCUAGCGGCCCAGGAUAUCAGGUUCUCAUCCUGAAGACCGGGGUUCGAGUCCCCGUGGGGGUA
This 73-nucleotide transfer RNA is filed under the name Phycisphaerae bacterium. RNAcentral describes it as "tRNA-Glu". It matches the Rfam family "tRNA". Rfam says of the family: Transfer RNA (tRNA) molecules are approximately 80 nucleotides in length. Their secondary structure includes four short double-helical elements and three loops (D, anti-codon, and T loops). Lineage: Bacteria; Pseudomonadati; Planctomycetota; Phycisphaerae. The record is from RNAcentral.